GACAGAGGGGGCAAGCGUUGCUCGGAAUCACUGGGCGUAAAGGGCGCGUAGGCGGGAUGGCAAGUCAGUCGUGAAAUCUCUCGGCUCAACCGAGAAACGUCGGCUGAUACUGCCGUUCUUGAGGGAUGCAGAGGAGACUGGAAUUCCCGGUGUAGCGGUGAAAUGUGUAGAGAUCGGGAGGAACACCGGUGGCGAAGGCGGGUCUCUGGGCCUUUCCUGACGCUGAGGCGCGAAAGCGUGGGGAGCGAACCGG
Molecule: ribosomal RNA, 253 nt
Filed under: uncultured bacterium
Lineage: Bacteria
Description: partial 16S ribosomal RNA
Rfam family: Bacterial small subunit ribosomal RNA
Source: RNAcentral